GGAAGCACAAUGUCAUGACCACAUUGAAUGCCAAGGGCUUUUACUUCAGCUGGAUGGUACUUGGGAGAAUAUGUCUCUCUGGACACGUCUGAGUCUAUCCAAGAAAAGCAACAGUUCUGGGACACUCUGCGCCUGUCGGCCACAAGGCCAGGCAGGAACUAGAAGAGCUGGGAACAUUUUAUAACACAACAUGGGAAAGGAAAACCCAAACUGUCUAUAUGGAACCUACAUCGGCUGUAGAUGGUGCUGUGCUAGAUCAAACUGUGCCAAUGGACCUGGAUGUGACCUUGGACACGCGGGCCAUUUGUAACCCAAGGAGAGGGACUCUCGCACAGGGAGAGAUUAAAUGGUGGAGCGUGGUGAGCUGACAGAGGAGAACCUAGUGAAAGCAGCAAAAAGAUUUAAGACAGAGGCAGGAGUUAACCUUGGAGGCGCCAGGAGACCGCGACCAGCCCAAGUCCCUCAGAUGCGGCUGUCUUUGGAGAGAUCUUUGCUGGGCCCUGAUCCAGUGUGGCUGUGCCUUGGAAGGAGAACUUUGACGGACACUCCCAGGAGGACCAUGUGAAGACGGAGGAGGCAGCCUCCACAAGCCCAGGAGAGGCUCAAACUUGGACUCAGAUGUAGUUUGAGACACAGGUGCUGUGGGUGAAGCCCCUUGGUCUGGGGUGCUUCCCCCUCCAGGGAGGGUGCCUCUGCUCUGCACUCCAGAUCGUUCUGGGCUGGAGCAUCCUUUGAAGAUCGUGGAUUCCAAUGCCAGGGUCGAGUGGCGCCCAGCUCCCCAGCUCCGGCUGGCGCAUUCUGGCCUGAGUCCUACUCUUGCAUCUCUUGGGGGUGCUCAGACAGAGGCUCAACAGAGUCACCACGGUGACCACCCUACUGUGCCCUCAUUGCCUGCUCUCCUUUCCCUGCUGUGAAAGCGACCCUCUCACCUGGAAGGAAAGGGCCACGGUUGGCCUAUUUGGUUCCCAGGUUUUUCUGAUGGGAUAAAUGGCCGACUUCCCAGCCUGGGAGGAGGGGCCUUCCCAAUCUCCCCACCUGACUCCUCAGCCAGGGACCAGCAUGGCCGUCGGUGACAGCCCACGCUAGUCCUCCCUGCUCAGCCUUGGCCUCCUUCUGUGCCCAAGAAAGACAGCAGGGUGUGGGGAGCAGAGAAACCCAGCCCUAUUUCCUCCUGUGCCUCAAAACUGAAACCCCAUUCAUCCUCUGGCCUCCAACUGGAGGUCGGCCUUGUGUUCCUUUCUUUGGCUUCUGGCCCGUGACUUGACAAAAAAGAACCUGGCGUCCUGUGGGCCAAAUCCAGAGGUUUCUUUGCUUUCUUUCUUCUCCCCUGCCCACCCCUCCCCCCGGGGUUUAAAGUCAGUCUCCAGAUGCCCACUGUCCUGCUGGUUUUGAGUUCAGCCAGGCAGGAUUUCCUUACGGGACACACGGCCAUUCUCUCCCUGUCCCUCUCCCCACCGC
Marmota monax (woodchuck) is the source of this 1458-nucleotide long non-coding RNA. RefSeq lists it as uncharacterized. Lineage: Eukaryota; Metazoa; Chordata; Mammalia; Rodentia; Sciuridae. The record is from RefSeq and is a predicted model, not a curated record. The transcript is spliced from 4 exons.